Molecule: non-coding RNA, 531 nt
Organism: Saimiri boliviensis boliviensis (Bolivian squirrel monkey)
Lineage: Eukaryota; Metazoa; Chordata; Mammalia; Primates; Cebidae
Source: RefSeq, a predicted model, not a curated record
UAAUAGGAGAGCAGACACCGUUGAUGUCCUGCUGCAGAGCCCCUCGCCCCGUUGUGGCUGCAGGGGACAGCUCCAUGCCCUGUCAUCGGAUCAGCGCUGCAUCUGUGCUUCUAGAGAACCCGACCUGCAACUUGGCUUGUUAGAGAGCUCUCCUGCUAUCCACUGGACUCUAAAACAUGAAAGCUAGGGGGAGAAAAGGAAGAAGAGAAUAUGGCUCUUGCACGGCAAUGAAAGAAGGAGUUCUAAGGAUGGCAGAUGAAGCUGCCAUGUCAUAAGGACACUCACUUAGCCUUCUGGUGAAAACUGCAUGGCGAACAACUGGAAUCUGUCACCAACAUCCAGUGCCAACUUGCCAUGAAUGUGAGUGAGCCAUCUUGGAAUCAGAGCUUUAGCCCCUUCCACACUUUCAGAUGACUGCAGCCUUAGCCAGCAUCAUGACUGCCAUGCCAUCAACCCUGAGCCAGAACCACCUAGGUAAGCCACUUCUGAUUUCCUGACCCACAGAAACUGAGAUAAUCACUGGUUAUUGUU